Molecule: long non-coding RNA, 1624 nt
Filed under: Homo sapiens (human)
Lineage: Eukaryota; Metazoa; Chordata; Mammalia; Primates; Hominidae
Description: non-protein coding lnc-RXRG-1:10
Source: RNAcentral
ACCCCACAAUGUCUCAUAAGGGGAUCUGCAAGGCAGCCCUAAAUUCCAAGCAGGACAUGUAACUCCUCAAUGGACAAAUGGACACUGGACCCUGGUUGAAGGAACCUGUUGUUCUUAUGGUGGAGGGCAGAAACCCAAGAGGGCUGGAGCCAAUCCAUGAAAGAGGUUUAAUUGACUCAGAGUUCCAUAUGGCUGGGGAGGCCUUGCGAUCAUGCAGAUGGCGAAUGAGGAGCAAAAACACAUCUUACAUGGUGGCAGAACUCAGGCACGUGGCCACAUCUAACAGCAAGGGAGUCUGGAAAACACAGUUCAGCUGUGUGAAGGAUAUUUAUAAACAUUUAGCAAGAUCCAAAGGAAUGGACCAUAGCACAGCCCUGUUUUCUUUAGACGCUGACUCCUGCUGUCUACCAGAUCCUCGUGGUACAAUGACUGGUGUAGACUGGCUUGUUGAAGUCACUCUCUGGAUCUGAGCAACGCUGGCUGAGCCGUGAUGAAGUAUUCCUAUCCAUCCACUAUGCUUCACAGUGGGAAUCUCUCACUGUUCAUCACCGCUGCCCUAGCAGCCGCAGGUUCAAGAGCUGCUGGGAUAUAGCAGUUAAGAGAUGAACCCUGCAGCCUGACUUCCUUUGCUAGAAUCCUGGCACUGUUACUUAUUCCUUGUAUGUCUCUAGCUGGAAUGAGAGACUGGAUGGCGUUGAAAUGAAAUGCUGGAGCCAUCCAUCCAUGUGCUUCCAGGGUGGCUUCCUGGCUGUGAGAACACAGUGACCCUGUGAGGCCAACAUGGACUCGGUUCUCCUGACAUAACAUGGCUGGAGGAGCUCCAGCUCUGGGAUGUUAUCUUGCUGUUUUACACUGGUGGUUCAGCCAGCCCAUGGGAAACUGAACUUGGGCUGGGAGACCUGGCAGCAAAUCCAAACUGAAAUAAGAAUCAGCACUUCGAGUUCAACUGUGAAACAAAUGUGGGCCCAAGGCCUAAAUGCCCGAAAGACAUAGGGAAGGGUUGAAGUGGAAUAAAGAAAGCUUUUGGUGACACUAUGGGAAGGGCUAUUGAGUAUCUUCUCAGGACAGUACAAAAUGUCAGAGGCACAGCAUAUUUCGAAACCUAUUUUUAAAGCUGCUUUAGAUUUUUUAACUUGAUGGAUAGAUAUAUUCAUUUUUUAAAAAAAGAAAUGGUGACCCUCUUAAGAGGCAAAGUACGAGCCUCAAGUGUUGUGGGAUGUAUCCAUCAUUGGUUACUAAGUUUUCCAAUGGCUCAGACACUCCCAGAAGCGAAGACUCCUGAGCCAAAGGAAGAUGAGAGCUGAAAGGAGCAUCGAGCUCAUCCAGUGCAAUGCUUCUCAGCUUGUGCCCACUUUGGAUUCACUUGGAAAUAUUUUAGAAAUACUGAUGCCUGGGCCCCAUUCCAGACCAGUUAAAUCAUACUAUCUGGGAGAGAUACCCAGAAAGUGGUAUGUUUUAACACCUCCUUAGGGAUUCUGCUGAUCAACCAAGGUUGAGAAGAAUCAAACUAGACUCAUUUUACAUAUGAAGAAAUGGAAACCCAGAUAUUGAGAUAAAAAAUGUUGCCCAAGUCACGUAGCUAGUGUCAAAACCUGACUCUUAAUAAAUGCCCUUAUGUCACACU